UACCAGCACCCCGAGUGGUCGGGACGAUUAUUGGGCCUAAAGCAUCCGUAGCCGGCCUCACAAGUCCUCCGUUAAAUCCAGCUGCUUAACAGAUGGGCUGCGGAGGAUACUAUAAGACUAGGAGGCAGGAGAGGCAAGCGGUACUCAGUGGGUAGGGGUAAAAUCCGUUGAUCCAUUGAAGACCACCAGUGGCGAAGGCGGCUUGCCAGAAUGCGCUCGACGGUGAGGGAUGAAAGCUGGGGGAGCAAACCGG
RNAcentral lists this ribosomal RNA (253 nucleotides) under uncultured bacterium. Its description in RNAcentral is "partial 16S ribosomal RNA". It matches the Rfam family "Archaeal small subunit ribosomal RNA", at positions 474 to 727 of the family's 1478-position model. The record is from RNAcentral.